RNAcentral lists this unclassified non-coding RNA (250 nucleotides) under Hevea brasiliensis (rubber tree). The record is from RNAcentral. Lineage: Eukaryota; Viridiplantae; Streptophyta; Magnoliopsida; Malpighiales; Euphorbiaceae.
GCAUCGGUAAAAUCCCUAUCAAUAAAUAAUAGGCCGGAAUGGUGGGGAAGGAGGCCCCCCCUACUUCAAUGGAAAGGGGGGAAUCGCCGUUUCACAGCCGUUCCUCUACAACUACCUUUCGCCCAACAUGAUCACAAACGAAGACAGAGAAUUGCGUAGAUAGGAGGACGAAACGCCCACUUGUCCUGAUCGGAACGAUUGAAGAAAGAAAGAGAAUGGUGGCCCCUUUCGCCCAGGGGACAUCGUCGGA